AGGGUGUAAACGCUGCAGACUUGGUGUUGGAAGUCCUUUGGGGGGCGAUUCAGUGCCGGAGAGAAGUUGUUAAGUCUGCUACUUGGGGAGUACGUCCGCAAGGAUGAAACUUAAAGGAAUUGGCGGGGGAGGCACCGCAACGGGAGGAGCGUGCGGUUUAAUUGGAUUCAACACCGUAAAACUACACCAGGGAAGACUGUUACAUGAAGGCCGAGAUGAAGACUCUGCUAGAUUUUCAGAGAGGUGGUGCAUGGCGUCAGUGACU
This 265-nucleotide ribosomal RNA is filed under the name uncultured archaeon. RNAcentral's name for it is "partial 16S ribosomal RNA". It matches the Rfam family "Archaeal small subunit ribosomal RNA", at positions 748 to 1008 of the family's 1478-position model. The record is from RNAcentral.